This 71-nucleotide transfer RNA is filed under the name Loxodonta africana (African savanna elephant). It matches the Rfam family "tRNA". Rfam says of the family: Transfer RNA (tRNA) molecules are approximately 80 nucleotides in length. Their secondary structure includes four short double-helical elements and three loops (D, anti-codon, and T loops). The record is from Rfam by way of RNAcentral. Lineage: Eukaryota; Metazoa; Chordata; Mammalia; Proboscidea; Elephantidae.
GAGGUGAUAGUUCAGUGGUAGAAUUCCUGCUUUCCAUGCAAGAGACUCAGGUUAGAUUCAUGGCCAACACA